RNAcentral lists this ribosomal RNA (526 nucleotides) under uncultured bacterium. RNAcentral describes it as "bacterial SSU rRNA". It matches the Rfam family "Bacterial small subunit ribosomal RNA", at positions 355 to 895 of the family's 1533-position model. The record is from RNAcentral.
UGGGGAAUCUUGCACAAUGGGCGAAAGCCUGAUGCAGCAACGCCGCGUGCGGGAAGACAGCCCUAGGGUUGUAAACCGCUUUCAGCAGGGAAGAAACUGACGGUACCUGCAGAAGAAGAUGCGGCCAACUACGUGCCAGCAGCCGCGGUGACACGUAGGCAUCAAGCGUUAUCCGGAUUUAUUGGGCGUAAAGAGCUCGUAGGCGGUUCGGUAAGUCGGGUGUGAAAACUCUGGGCUCAACCCAGAGAGGCCACUCGAUACUGCUGUGACUAGAGUGCGGUAGGGGAGCGGGGAAUUCCUGGUGUAGCGGUGAAAUGCGCAGAUAUCAGGAGGGAACACCAGUGGCGAAGGCGCCGCUCUGGGCCGUAACUGACGCUGAGGAGCGAAAGCAUGGGUAGCAAACAGGAUUAGAUACCCUGGUAGUCCAUGCCGUAAACGUUGGGCACUAGGUGUGGGUCUCAACCGAACGAGAUCCGCGCCGUCGCUAACGCAUUAAGUGCCCGCCUGGGAGUACGGUCGCAAGACU